AUGACGCUGCUCUGUUCAUCCGUUCCUCCCAGCCCGGGACGCGUGGCGUUCCUCCCCGCACCACAGAUCCCGCGCGGCCAAGCGCGAGUCGUUUCCAGGCAUCGGCGUCUGUGGUCCUCGACCUUCGGAUUUCAGACCUCGGUGCCUCCCAGGACCGCGAUAAACGUCGCCUCCGCCCCUCUCUCUCAGAUCGCCUGGGGGGCGGUCUCGGCUUGCCCCAAAUCGGUCCUCAUUAGAGCCCGGCCAGGGAAGCCGGCAUCCGUGGCUCCCAGGGACCUGGACCCGGAGCUGCUCCUCCCUGCCCGGGCGACAGCAGCUGAGCAGUCCCGAGGCGGUCCGGAACCUCGCGGUGCCGUCUCCCCUCCCAGAGCGGAGUCGGGGACCGGGCUAGGUGGAAAUGCCAUGGUUCCCUUCUGCCCAGCGGGACCGCCCCUGCCCAGUCUCUCUCGCUUUUGGCCCUUCCUGGGGCUUCUAACGCCGUGGAACACUUGUGUUUCUCCUAGGGCUCGCUUGGAGGAAGGCAGCCUAGCGCAGACGGAAGGACCAGAUAUGAGCCAGAGGAGCUCCUGUGGACUGGGAAUUUUGGAACUACUCAGAGCUGAGGGCGAGUCCUUCACCUGGACCCGGAUGCCAGAUAAGCAGCAGGACAUGGAGCUCAUCAUCAUGAGAGUGCCCUGCCUGGUGACUUCUGGGCUCUUAAGUGUGUGACGUUUGUCAGUGUUCUCCAGACAGCUGUCUGUUUCCUACAGCUAAAUCCCAAACCACUUGUCCCAGCUGGCUGCACUUCCUACUGCUUGUUGUUCUCACUUUCUUAACUCUUUGCUUCUGCAACUUCCACCUUCCCUCUCUUCUGGUCCCACAGUUUGGGUCUUAUUGCCCAGAACUGCUUCUCCUCUGAAACCUUACAUGCCACUCACCAGACCUCUCAACCCAGCAUUUCAUUCAUUAAAAUCUCUAACACUUUCCGUUGUUCCAGCUCUUUCUUAUUGGGGUCACCUCCCCCACAAUUUGCUGCUUUUCCUCCUUUUUAUCAGCCCAUGUUCUGAUUUUCUCUAAGCCUAAACUAAAAUAGGGAAUUUCAAGGGCUGGCGCUAUGGCGCAGUAGGUUAAUUUUCCGCCUGUAGUGCCGGCAUCCUCUACGAGUGCCGGUGCUAGUCCCAGCUGCCCCUCUUCCAAUCCAGCUCUCUGCCAUGGCCUGGAAAAGCAGUAGAAGAUGGUCCAAGUCCUUGGGACCCUGCACCCGCAUGGGAGACCGGGAGGAAGUACCUGGCUCCUGGCUUCAGAUUGGCGUAGCUCCGGCCCUUGCAGCCAUCUAGGGAGUGAACCAACGGAAGGAAGACCUUUCUCUCUGUCUCUCCCUCUCACUGAAACUCUACCUCUCAAAUAAAUAAAUAAAAUAUUAAAAAAAGAAAUGGGGA
Molecule: long non-coding RNA, 1418 nt
Filed under: Oryctolagus cuniculus (rabbit)
Lineage: Eukaryota; Metazoa; Chordata; Mammalia; Lagomorpha; Leporidae
Description: lncRNA (ENSOCUG00000033253.1)
Source: RNAcentral